This 24-nucleotide microRNA is filed under the name Lingula anatina. Its description in RNAcentral is "Lan-Mir-2-o108_3p (mature (guide))". The record is from RNAcentral. Lineage: Eukaryota; Metazoa; Brachiopoda; Lingulata; Lingulida; Lingulidae.
UAUCACAGCCCCGCUUUGAUGAGC